RNAcentral lists this transfer RNA (72 nucleotides) under Candidatus Daviesbacteria bacterium. RNAcentral describes it as "tRNA-Thr". It matches the Rfam family "tRNA". Rfam says of the family: Transfer RNA (tRNA) molecules are approximately 80 nucleotides in length. Their secondary structure includes four short double-helical elements and three loops (D, anti-codon, and T loops). The record is from RNAcentral. Lineage: Bacteria; Candidatus Daviesiibacteriota.
GCCGAAGUAGCUCAGUGGUAGAGCGGCGGUAUCGUAAACCGUAGGUCGUGGGUUCGAUUCCCACCUUCGGCU